UCCAGACUCCUACGGGAGGCAGCAGUGGGGAAUAUUGCGCAAUGGGGGAAACCCUGACGCAGCAACGCCGCGUGAGUGAAGAAGGCCUUCGGGUUGUAAAGCUCUUUAAUCAGGGACGAAGAAUGACGGUACCUGAGGAAUAAGCUCCGGCUAACUACGUGCCAGCAGCCGCGGUAAUACGUAGGGAGCAAGCGUUAUCCGGAUUUAUUGGGUUUAAAGGGUGCGCAGGCGGCACGGCAAGCCGGCGGUCAAAUCGCGGGGCUCAACCCCGCCCAGCCGUCGGAACUGCCGGGCUAGAGUGGGCGAGAAGUGCGCGGAAUGCGUGGUGUAGCGGUGAAAUGCAUAGAUAUCACGCAGAACUCCGAUUGCGAAGGCAGCGCACCGGCGCCCUACUGACGCUCAGGCACGAAAGCGUGGGUAUCGAACAGGAUUAGAUACCCGCGUA
RNAcentral lists this ribosomal RNA (445 nucleotides) under uncultured bacterium. Its description in RNAcentral is "partial 16S ribosomal RNA". It matches the Rfam family "Bacterial small subunit ribosomal RNA", at positions 330 to 792 of the family's 1533-position model. The record is from RNAcentral.